Molecule: unclassified non-coding RNA, 218 nt
Filed under: Hevea brasiliensis (rubber tree)
Lineage: Eukaryota; Viridiplantae; Streptophyta; Magnoliopsida; Malpighiales; Euphorbiaceae
Source: RNAcentral
AGUCAAAAGCUGUACCAGUAGAUCAAAUUAAGAGUCAUCAAGUGGUAGAGGUUGAAUGCGGAAGACUUUGAAAAUGUUUAGCUCAUUGCGUUGUGACACUCUUGGCAAGAUUGCGAGGUUGAUCCACAUUGUAUCCACGCAAUACAGUAAGAUGAUAGGCCAAUAACUGUAAUGGAACUACAUUAAUUACGGGCUGCAAACAGUCCACAACCUGUGGA